CGGAGGGAAAACACAAUGACUGAGUGGCGGACGGGUGAGUAACGCGUAGGGAACCUGGCCCUUACAGGGGGAUAACAGAUGGAAACAACUGCUAAUACCGCAUAAGCGCCCAGCCUCGCAUGAGGCAGAGUGAAAAACUAAGGUGGUAAGGGAUGGCCCUGCGUCCGAUUAGCUAGUUGGUAUGGUAACGGCAUACCAAGGCGACGAUCGGUAGCCGGCCUGAGAGGGUGGACGGCCACAUUGGGACUGAGACACGGCCCAAACUCCUACGGGAGGCAGCAGUGGGGGAUAUUGCACAAUGGGGGAAACCCUGAUGCAGCGACACCGCGUGGGUGAAGAAGCGCUUCGGCGUGUAAAGCCCUAUCAGUGGGGAAGAAAAAGGACGGUACCCAAAGAAGAAGCACCGGCUAAAUACGUGCCAGCAGCCGCGGUAAUACGUAUGGUGCAAGCGUUAUCCGGAAUGACUGGGUGUAAAGGGAGCGUAGACGGUUGUACAAGUCUGAUGUGAAAGCCCACGGCUCAACUGUGGGAGUGCAUUGGAAACUGUAGAACUAGAGUAUCGGAGAGGCAAGUGGAAUUCCUAGUGUAGCGGUGAAAUGCGUAGAUAUUAGGAGGAACACCAGUGGCGAAGGCGGCUUGCUGGACGAAAACUGACGUUGAGGCUCGAAAGCGUGGGGAGCAAACAGGAUUAGAUACCCUGGUAGUCCACGCUGUAAACGAUGAAUACUAGGUGUUGGGGCCCGAAGGGCGUCGGUGCCGUCGCAAACGCAGUAAGUAUUCCACCUGGGGAGUACGUUCGCAAGAAUGAAACUCAAAGGAAUUGACG
RNAcentral lists this ribosomal RNA (826 nucleotides) under uncultured bacterium. RNAcentral describes it as "bacterial SSU rRNA". It matches the Rfam family "Bacterial small subunit ribosomal RNA", at positions 72 to 915 of the family's 1533-position model. The record is from RNAcentral.